AGCCGCGGUAAUACGUAGGGUGCAAGCGUUGUCCGGAAUUACUGGGCGUAAAGAGCUCGUAGGUGGUUUGUCGCGUUGUUCGUGAAAACUCACAGCUUAACUGUGGGCGUGCGGGCGAUACGGGCAGACUAGAGUACUGCAGGGGAGACUGGAAUUCCUGGUGUAGCGGUGGAAUGCGCAGAUAUCAGGAGGAACACCGGUGGCGAAGGCGGGUCUCUGGGCAGUAACUGACGCUGAGGAGCGAAAGCGUGGGGAGCGAACAGGAUUAGAUACCCUGGUAGUCCACGCCGUAAACGGUGGGUACUAGGUGUGGGUUUCCUUCCUUGGGAUCCGUGCCGUAGCUAACGCAUUAAGUACCCCGCCUGGGGAGUACGGCCGCAAGGCUAAAACUCAAAGAAAUUGACGGGGGCCCGCACAAGCGGCGGAGCAUGUGGAUUAAUUCGAUGCAACGCGAAGAACCUUACCUGGGUUUGACAUGCACAGGACGUGCCUAGAGAUAGGUAUUCCCUUGUGGCCUGUGUGCAGGUGGUGCAUGGCC
This 538-nucleotide ribosomal RNA is filed under the name uncultured archaeon. RNAcentral's name for it is "bacterial SSU rRNA". It matches the Rfam family "Bacterial small subunit ribosomal RNA", at positions 513 to 1050 of the family's 1533-position model. The record is from RNAcentral.